CUAGAUCUCUCUCUCUAGAUCUCUCUCUCUCUCUCUCUGUGUAUGUGUGUGUAGUUGUGUGGUCAUGGCUUGUCUUACAGCUGCAUUUGCACCUGCACCUGCACCUGCACCUGCCUCUGCCCCUGCAGAGAGCGAGUGAGAGGGAGUAGAAGAGAUCAGAUGGUGAGUGUGAUUUGUUCUCAAUCUGCAGGUGCAGUGGCAAAUGCAGCCAUAGGAGUAAACCAUGCAUCUUGAAGCCUCCUCUCACUUUCUCACUCUUCUAUCUGCCACUUCAAACGAUAUUAAUUGGUACUUUAUUUGCUUCAGCUAAUCUGAUCAUUGUGCUAGAUCUUUGUCCAACUUUUUAAUUUAUGGCCUGUUAUUAGUGAAACCAUGGUAUGAAGGUUCUCCAAAUGCAGAAAAAAUCAGAAGAGAACCGACUUGAAGAUUUUGUUUUGAUGCUCAAAUUUUGGUUUCUGCUUUCUAGCUACUGCAUCAUAAGAGUUUCAGUUUUCUCCUUUUCUUUAUUAAAUACUCUAUCUACUGAGAUUACUACCGGCAAAAAGAAAAGCAUAAAAUACAGUUGAACAGCCACGGCCAUCUUUCUAAUUUAUGAUCUGUAUUAAUUGGGCAUGCAUGUUUAGUUUAUACUUUAUGAAGCGGCUGAGGUUAGUGCAUGUAGCACAAGUUUUACCAAUUAUAUAUAGUUUCGUUUCCCCCUUCAGUACUUGUUUUCUCCCUCUCACUACGUACUUGUCCUCGCACAUUUUAACUAGAUGAAACUGAUUUGAAAGAAAUUGGACUUAGGGAGAUAAGAACUGGAUGAAAUCAGUUAAAACAACUUAAUGAAAUAAGUUGAGAAUCGGACGAAACUGAUUGAGAUAGGAUUGAGCUGAUAGAAAUCUCUUGUGUGUUAGAGGACUUUAUCCUAACUCAAAAAACAUAAGCUAACAGAUGAAGAAAUUGUUAAAAUAUAAAUUGUAAUUCUUUUUAUUUUUUAAGGAAAAGGUAGAAUGCUACCCGCGCUUCAUUCAUUCAGAAGGAGAACUAAGCUACAUGGGUGAGGCAUCAUAGGCCUCGAGGAUGGCGAAAACGAAAUGAAAAAAAAAGAAGUUAUUUUGGAAGUCUAAGAGUCAUUUUGGAAUUCUAAAGAAUAUUGAUUUUGAAAUUCUAAGAGUCAAGAAGUCUUAGAGUUAGUGAAGAGUUCAAUGAGGAAGCUCAAGGGUCAUUGAAAAGUCUAUAAAAAGGUUGUCAUGGCAAUUACAUGAGAUCAACCCCCCAAAAGACUAAGUUCUCUUGUACUUAGUCAAAUUUAUAAAAAUCCACCAUUUUCAUUUGAAAUAGUUAAAUUCUUUUAGCACCCAACAAAAUUGAUAUCAGAGCCAAGUUCUCUCGAGUCCUUCAUCUCAAAUCUAGCACUUCAUGACAACAAGUACUGGAGCAAGCUCAAGCAAAGCAUCAGCAAACAACAAGUAUCACCACCUUCAACUACAUGCAAAAUCAAGUACCAAUUUUUGACUGAGAUAGUUAUGAUUUUUGGAGCAUCCAAGAUGAAACUCUCUUUCUGUCACAAGACUUGUGGGAUUUGGUAGAAGGAGGCUACGAAGAACUACCAAAUCAAGAAGCAUUUGCAACAUGGACUCAAGCAAAGCAAAAUGAACAUAAGGAGAGCAAGAAAAAGGAUGCAAAAGCUUUGCUUUUCAUCCAACAAGGGGUAAGUAAAACUAUAUUUCCUAGAAUUUUGGGUGCAACUAAAUCAAACGAAGCUUGGAAAAUUUUUUAAAAAGAGUUUCAAGGCUCCGACAAAAUCAUCACUAUUAAGCUUCAAUUAUUGUGGUGUGAAUUUGAUAAUUUAGCCAUGAAAGAUAAUGAAAAUAUAAAGAUUUUUUCUCUAGAGUUGCUGGGACUAUAAAUCAAAUAAGAAGUUAUGGAGAUACAAUUGAAGAGAAACAGAUAGUUGAGAAAAUUCUAAGAAGUUUACUAGUUAAAUUUGAUCAUAUUGUCGUAGCAAUCGAAGAAUUGAAAGAUUUAUCUAUUUUUACUUUGCAUGAACUGAUGGGCUCUCUUGAGGCACAUGCACAAAGAAUGAGCAGGUUUACAGAGCACAAUAUAAAGCAAGCAUUUCAAUCCAAACUUACAAUCAAAGAAAGGAAAGCAGCAAGUGUGGAGCGAGAUGGCAAAGAUAGAAGACAAUUCCAAAGGAGAAAUCAAGAAAAUUGGUCUCGUGGCAAAGGUAAAGGCCGAAGUGGACAACCAACUGAAAGAAAUGGUAACUUCGAUUCUCAAUGUUUUAUUUGCAAAAAUUCUGGAUAUGAAUACAAAAAUUGUCGUUUUUGAUGCAAAAGAUACAAGAUUCCAAACCAUUCUGAAAGAGACUGUUGGUUUAAGGAUAAAAAAGAAAAAAAUAAAGCUAAUUUUUCUAAAGAAAAUAACAGUGAAUAAUUAUUUUAUUCUUGCAUGAAUGUCCAACAAGAAUCACAAGAAAUUAACUUGGUAUUUGGAUAAUGGCUGAGGUAAUCAUAUGACAGGGAAUCGAGACUUCUUAAUUUGUUGAUCUACACCAAGUCAAGCUUGGUAAUGGCAAGAGCUACAACAGAUUGAGGGCAAGACAAAAGGAGUGCUUUGAGAUCAGUUAUAAAUUCUGCAACCCUCUGCGGAAGGGUGCGCAAGAGCUCUCCCUCGACUUCAUGAUCUUGUUAGAAAAUGCGAAUCGUGUUCUGCCCUAACCGGAACGCUUACUCUAUGAACAAAAGGAUAUUGUAGUUCCAAGAGAAAUUGGGUGUAAGCUCUUCCACAUAUACCAUCGACUUAAGCACUUGGAACUACAAGGCACUUUCCCUACACAUUUAUGUUACAAGUGAUGCUAAAGAGAUUAGAAGGAGAGCAGUUGACGAACUAUACCGGAGUUACGUCCCUAAACUUGAAAAUAAGGUUUUUGCCUAUGAGAUGGGAAACAAAAAAAAAGAAAAAAAGAGUAAAAAAAAAAAUGAUUCACAGUAGAGUAGCUUCUUUGCCUGAUACGAAUCAUGAAUUUACUGUCUCUCUUUUGUUAAUUGUCAUAUAUAUUUUUUCAUUUGCUUCUUUAAAGCCAGCUCGUUGCAACACGUAUGUAACUUCACUAGUAAUAUAUGAAGUUUCAAUUUUUCUUA
Molecule: long non-coding RNA, 3128 nt
Organism: Ananas comosus (pineapple)
Lineage: Eukaryota; Viridiplantae; Streptophyta; Magnoliopsida; Poales; Bromeliaceae
Exons: 3
Source: RefSeq, a predicted model, not a curated record